This 505-nucleotide ribosomal RNA is filed under the name uncultured bacterium. RNAcentral describes it as "bacterial SSU rRNA". It matches the Rfam family "Bacterial small subunit ribosomal RNA", at positions 28 to 527 of the family's 1533-position model. The record is from RNAcentral.
GACGAACGCUGGCGGCGUGGAUUAGGCAUGCAAGUCGAACGGUAUCAUCCUUUCGGGGGUGAGAGAGUGGCGAACUGGUGAGUAACACGUAGGUUAUCUACCCUCAAGACGGGGACAACCCAGGGAAACUUGGGCUAAUACCGGAUGUGAGCAACUUUUAGUUGUUUGAAAGGUGGCGUAAGCUGUCGCUUGGGGAUGAGCCUGCGUCCUAUUAGUUAGUUGGUGAGGUAACGGCUCACCUAGGCAAUGAUAGGUAGGCGGCCUUAACGGGUGGUCGCCCACACUGGGAUUGAGAUACGGCCCAGACUCCUACGGGAGGCAGCAGUCGAGAAUAGUCUACAAUGGUCGGAAGACUGAUAGUGCGACGCCGCGUGAACGAUGAAUCCUUCGGGUGUAAGUUCUUUUAUAUGUGAGCAGUGCUUCUUAUAUUAACAGUAUGGGGAGAGAGAUAUUAGCAUAUGAAUAAGCAACGGCUAACUCCGUGCCAGCAGCCGCGGUAAACUCG